UACAGAGGUUGCAAGCGUUGUUCGGAAUUACUGGGCGUAAAGGGCGCGUAGGCGGUCUUGCAAGUCCUGUGUGAAAUCCCUCGGCUCAACUGAGGAACUGCACAGGAAACUGCUUGGCUUGAGUUCGGGAGAGGGAAGCGGAAUUCCGGGUGUAGCGGUGAAAUGCGUAGAUAUCCGGAGGAACACCGGUGGCGAAGGCGGCUUCCUGGACCGACACUGACGCUGAGGCGCGAAAGCUAGGGGAGCAAACGGG
Molecule: ribosomal RNA, 253 nt
Filed under: uncultured bacterium
Lineage: Bacteria
Description: partial 16S ribosomal RNA
Rfam family: Bacterial small subunit ribosomal RNA
Source: RNAcentral